AUGGCUGAUGAACAAGGCUGGUCGGCUGGCGCUUGUCAAGUCGGUGCUCAGCGCGAUCCCAAUUCACCAAUUGCUCGCGCUCGCACCCCCAAGAAAACCCUGAAGCAACUUGAGAAGAUUCAACGAGGUUUUCUUUGGGCCGGCCGCGCGGACGCCCACGGUGGUCACUGUCACGUGAAUUGGCGCCGGGUCUGA
Molecule: ribosomal RNA, 195 nt
Filed under: Triticum aestivum (bread wheat)
Lineage: Eukaryota; Viridiplantae; Streptophyta; Magnoliopsida; Poales; Poaceae
Description: partial small subunit ribosomal RNA
Source: RNAcentral